Dermacentor silvarum is the source of this 322-nucleotide long non-coding RNA. RefSeq lists it as uncharacterized. The transcript has 3 exons. The record is from RefSeq and is a predicted model, not a curated record. NCBI's taxonomy places the organism in Eukaryota, Metazoa, Arthropoda, Arachnida, Ixodida, Ixodidae.
UGUAUGUUUUGUAGGGACAAUCCAGGACGUGUAUUUCUCAGCACCCAGUCAACUGCCAGAAGUGACUCAAACACAGGCCACCAGAGACAAUGCCUACGAAAUUAUUGGCCCUGAUGACGAGAGCCCUCAAGGGGCAAACGACAUCUCUGUUUGUAGAAGUGAGCCUGAUACCACCUGAAGUUACCAUGACAGAUGACACGGCUGCAAUAGAUACAGAGACUGCCGUGUCUACUGCAGCUACAACAGAGUACGAGGCAAGCAGCAGCACGUCAGCAUCAGCAGUAGUGUCAGAAGGAACCAAACCAGGCCUGGUAGGGCAACA